This 253-nucleotide ribosomal RNA is filed under the name uncultured bacterium. RNAcentral's name for it is "partial 16S ribosomal RNA". It matches the Rfam family "Bacterial small subunit ribosomal RNA", at positions 524 to 776 of the family's 1533-position model. The record is from RNAcentral.
UACGAGGGGGGCAAGCGUUGUUCGGAAUUAUUGGGCGUAAAGGGUGCGUAGGCGGUCUGAUAAGUCAUCUGUGAAAUCUAUGGGCUCAACCCAUAGUCUGCAGGCGAAACUGUCGGGCUUGAGUAUGGGAGAGGUGAGUGGAAUUUCCGGUGUAGCGGUGAAAUGCGUAGAUAUCGGAAGGAACACCUGUGGCGAAAGCGGCUCACUGGACCAUUACUGACGCUGAUGCACGAAAGCCAGGGGAGCAAACGGG